Molecule: ribosomal RNA, 504 nt
Filed under: uncultured bacterium
Lineage: Bacteria
Description: partial 16S ribosomal RNA
Rfam family: Bacterial small subunit ribosomal RNA
Source: RNAcentral
AUUGAACGCUGGCGGCAUGCCUUACACAUGCAAGUCGAACGGCAGCAUGGAGAGCUUGCUCUCUGAUGGCGAGUGGCGAACGGGUGAGUAAUGCAUCGGAACGUACCGUGUAAUGGGGGAUAACGUAGCGAAAGUUACGCUAAUACCGCAUACGACCUGAGGGUGAAAGCAGGGGAUCGCAAGACCUUGCGUUAUACGAGCGGCCGAUGUCAGAUUAGCUAGUUGGUGAGGUAAAGGCUCACCAAGGCGACGAUCUGUAGCGGGUCGGAGAGGAUGAUCCGCCACGCUGGGACUGAGACACGGCCCGGACUCCUACGGGAGGCAGCAGUGGGGAAUUUUGGACAAUGGGGGCAACCCUGAUCCAGCCAUGCCGCGUGAGUGAAGAAGGCCUUCGGGUUGUAAAGCUCUUUCGGCCGGGAAGAAAUCGCACAGGCUAAUACUCUGUGUGGAUGACGGUACCGGCAUAAGAAGCACCGGCUAACUACGUGCCAGCCGCCGCCGUAA